CCCUCUCACAUACAUUCUCCCAGUGCAGUGCAUCAGUGUGCCAGCCAUCGACGACUCCUGUGCUCAGUAGCUCAUCAUGUGUCAAACACACCUCUUACCGUUCAAAGGAAUUACCAUCUCACCUCAACAUUGUAGCCUAUAGUUUGAAUUUUACAGAUCUUGCAACAACAUGCCAACACACAAAUAGCUGAGCAAACAUUUCUAAGCAGCGCCAUCAAUGAGGUGUUGCCUGACCUUCCAGAGGCUUCAAAAGACAUUCUUGAGGAGACAUUACAGUCGAUUGGAGUGGAAACAUAUGAUGACUUCCAGUUCAUUGUUGAGGAAGACUUGCUGUCAGCAUUAAGACCAGUUCAAGCCAGAAAAGCACUUGCUGCUUGGAAAUUCAGAUGCCAGACUCCUGAAACCAGCAGGUCCUCAAGUAAUACUUCGCCAGAUACUCCUGCGUCACUGCAGUCUUUGUCCCCGCAAAGUGUGUCAUCAAACUCCUCCAGCAGCAACCAGACUUCUGAAGCAGACUGGGUGGAUACCUUUGAGAUACCAUGGGAAAAGUUCUCAGAGGAACUGAUGCAGUCAUUAGAGAGAGGAAAACGGCCAAGUCCAAAAAUGAGGAGGGAGAUGGUCAGGAUUGUGGUGUCUGAAAUGAUGCGAAAAAGUUCUUGCUUAGGUAAAAGGAGUUCUACAGAAGUUGCAAAGAAGAUGGUGGCAAAAUAUCCAAAAUCUCUACAAGAUGUAAUUGGCCCUGGCUAUCACUCACUAGUCAAACAACUGCAAUAUCGAAUGUAAUUUGCUAUUACAGUAAAAUGUUUUACUGACAUCACACGGAGUCAUACUCCUUUUCCAUAAAAGUGUUUUGUAGAAUUUCAGUGUAGAAUAUUACACUAAAACACAAGAAAUCUAUGCCAAAGUCAGAUUUAUUGCCAUAAAUUGACCAUUCAGAAGGGGGGGCUUUGAAAAAAAAUCUUUUUGAUAUGUCACAUUUCAGCCAGGCUGCACAGUGGUGUAGUGGUUAGCGCUGUCGCCUCACAGCAAGAAGGCCCAGGUUCGAGCCCCGUGGCCGACGAGGGCCUUUCUGUGUGGAGUUUGCAUGUUCUCCCCGUGUCCGCGUGGGUUUCCUCCGGGUGCUCCUGUUCCCCCACAGUCCAAAGACAUGCAGGUUAGGUUAACUGGUGACUCUAAAUUGACUGUAGGUGUGAAUGUGAGUGUGAAUGGUUGUCUGUGUCUAUGUGUCAGCCCUGUGAUGACCUGGCGACUUGUCCAGGGUGUACCCUGCCUUUCGCCCGUAGUCAGCUGGGAUGGGCUCCAGCUUGCCUGCGACUCUGUAGAACAGGAUAAAGUGGCUAGAGAUAAUGAGAGAGAGAUGACAUUUCAGCCAAAUGGAGCAAGAUAAAGCUAAAAAAUCUUUUUUUCAAAGCUUUUUUCAUCUCAUCUCAUCUCAUCUCAUCUUAUUAUCUCUAACCGCUUUAUCCUGUUCUACAGGGUCACAGGCAAGCUGGAGCCUGUGCUUAAUUCCAAGUUCCAAAUUAAGUUUGCAACUGAUUUUCAUAACCAACUUAUAUUAGUCAUGCAUAUAAUCAGGGCCAUUUCAGUGUACUUUGCAUACCCCGGUGGUCCCCUUCAGCUUGGGGCCUGGUUUGGACAGGCCUGGUUUGCCGGCCCCUGUUGCGAUGGACCUGCAUAAUGCUGACAAAGAGUGUAUCAGGAUAUGAAAUAUGGAUUUAUUAUUUUCUGCAACUCAUUUUGAUAUGUCAAGAUUAGGCCUAUGUUGGUAAAUAAAACAUUAUGUGCUUUUGAUCA
Long non-coding RNA from Neoarius graeffei (lesser salmon catfish), 1794 nucleotides. RefSeq lists it as uncharacterized. The record is from RefSeq and is a predicted model, not a curated record. The transcript has 3 exons. NCBI's taxonomy places the organism in Eukaryota, Metazoa, Chordata, Actinopteri, Siluriformes, Ariidae.